Molecule: ribosomal RNA, 489 nt
Filed under: Triticum aestivum (bread wheat)
Lineage: Eukaryota; Viridiplantae; Streptophyta; Magnoliopsida; Poales; Poaceae
Description: partial small subunit ribosomal RNA
Source: RNAcentral
AUGCAUCUCAACUAUCUCAAGGCGUGCAUACGUGAGGCAUUUCGCCUCCACCCAAUCGCUCCCUUCAACCUGCCGCACGUCGCGAUUGCCGACACCAUUGUUGCGGGCUACCGUGUGCCCAAGGGUAGCCACGUCAUCCUCAGCCGGCUGGCCCUGGGCCGGAACCCCGCCGUCUGGGAUGAACCGCUCCACUUCAAGCCAGAGCGCCAUAUGGGAGACAACAUCAAUGUGGUGCUUACCGAGAGCGAAUUGCGGUUCAUCUCCUUCAGCACCGGACGGCGGGGAUGCAUCGCGGCAUCAUUAGGAACAACCAUGAGUGUCAUGCUCUUCGGCAGGCUCUUGCAUGGCUUCACCUGGACCAAACCGGCUGGGGUGUCGGCCAUCAAUCUCAGCGAAUCGAAGCACGACCUCUUCAAAGAGAAACCGCUAGUGCUACAUGCUGAGCCACGUCUUGCAGUGCACCUCUACCCUCUCAUUAUGCAUCGUUGA